AGGCUGGGCUGUGAGCUAGCGGGCGUGGAGAGUGAAGCCCCGCCUGGCCCCCCUUCCACACUGGAAGCCUCUCUGUGGCUGAUGGGAGGACCAGGGCUGAUGAAAGGAUGGAGCCAUGAAGGGCAGCCCUCCUGCUGCGGGUCGCCCUGCUGCUGCCCUGGGCCUGCAGCUCCUGGCACGUGGGUCUCUGGGACUCCUUGUGGAUGUGCCUCUCCAGGGCCCUCCAUCCUCGGUGGGCAGGAGACUCCCCUAGGGAGCUUGCUCUCAAGUUCUCAAUAGCAUACACACGGCUGCCACAAAUACACAGAAGUUUUGGGAAUUAGCUCUGUGAGACAGGCCUAUUUCAGAUAAGAAAAAUGAGGAUCAGAGAAGCUGAAAGUCUUGCGGAGGACACCCCAGCAAGGCGAAUUACAGGCCCAGAAUUCUAACGAGGGCAUCCGGACUCUGGGAUUACAACCGCCUUCUGCGUCCCAGGAAAAACCUCCUCUAGUCAUGCCCAGAUCUGCCUGGUCUAAAAACCACAAAAAUCGCAGGACUUUCCACUGAGUCAAUGCUUGUCACGUCUAGAGACCUGGAUCGAGCUGUUUCCUUCCAUUCACAGAGCCGUCCUGCAGGAGAGAUGUUACUUUUACCAUCAAUGUAAAAACUGAGCCUUAAACUGCUUCAGAAACUGUUUAGAUUCAUUCAACUGAAUAUUCACACUGGAGUUUGAAUCAAGGCCUACGUGGCUUUAGAAAUUUAAGAUCCAAACCGUACCACUGUGGUACCUGACAUCCUUCAUGCACCUCCCUCAUCUUCAGAGAAACAAUUCUAAUUCUUCACUUUAAAGCAAGGUAGGGUGACUUUCCAAUGACUUCAGGGCAUUCGGUAAAGAACAGCUUGGUUCAAAGUAAGUUGAUGAGCACAGCAAUUUCUUCAUAAUGGCAACCUGGUUAAAAAAAAAUAAAAUAAACCCAUACCUGGCUUUGGGAAGGAAGUUGUUUGUUUUAAUGUUUUGUAUUUGGACUUGCAUCACAUAGAGUGGUGAUUUUUUUCAACAUUUUGUGUGUCACUUAACAUUUUUAAAAAUAAAGUCUUACAAGCUGUGAAACAAUGUGAACAUCCUGAUCCUAUCUCUGUAAAAUAUGAUGGGUGCACAUUGAUAGACGAGGGUGUGGAAAGUUACAUCUGAAGGUGGCAACAGGAGUUGCCUCUGCAUGUGUGGAAUUAGAAGGAUUGUUGAUUUCAUUUAUUUAUCUGAAUAUACGAUAGAGAAAGUUCAAGUAGCACAGAUGGCUGCACAAUGAAGAGGAAUUUCACCUCUUACACUCAUUCUCAGUCCACUCGCCAAAGGCAAUUACAUGGAUAUGUAUUCUUCCUGAAAUAUUCUUUUCAUACACAAUCGUGUAUAAAAUCGUGUAUGAAAAAAAGUCUGCUCAUCAUGUAGUGUGUGUUUAUAUAUAAAUGUACUUAUUUAUAUA
This 1460-nucleotide unclassified non-coding RNA is filed under the name Homo sapiens (human). RNAcentral describes it as "novel transcript (ENSG00000284756.3)". The record is from RNAcentral. Lineage: Eukaryota; Metazoa; Chordata; Mammalia; Primates; Hominidae.